RNAcentral lists this ribosomal RNA (372 nucleotides) under uncultured bacterium. Its description in RNAcentral is "bacterial SSU rRNA". It matches the Rfam family "Bacterial small subunit ribosomal RNA", at positions 525 to 896 of the family's 1533-position model. The record is from RNAcentral.
ACGGGGGAGGCAAGCGUUAUCCGGAAUUAUUGGGCGUAAAGCGUCCGCAGGUGGUCAGCCAAGUCUGCCGUCAAAUCAGGUUGCUUAACGACCUAAAGGCGGUGGAAACUGGCAGACUAGAGAGCAGUAGGGGUAGCAGGAAUUCCCAGUGUAGCGGUGAAAUGCGUAGAGAUUGGGAAGAACAUCGGUGGCGAAAGCGUGCUACUGGGCUGUAUCUGACACUCAGGGACGAAAGCUAGGGGAGCGAAAGGGAUUAGAUACCCCUGUAGUCCUAGCCGUAAACGAUGGAUACUAGGCGUGGCUUGUAUCGACCCGAGCCGUGCCGAAGCUAACGCGUUAAGUAUCCCGCCUGGGAGUACGCACGCAAGUGUG